Molecule: small RNA, 27 nt
Filed under: Bombyx mori (domestic silkworm)
Lineage: Eukaryota; Metazoa; Arthropoda; Insecta; Lepidoptera; Bombycidae
Description: ovarian small RNA-24674
Source: RNAcentral
UCAAGAAAUACUAAGGAGCCUAUGGUA